This 474-nucleotide ribosomal RNA is filed under the name uncultured bacterium. RNAcentral describes it as "bacterial SSU rRNA". It matches the Rfam family "Bacterial small subunit ribosomal RNA", at positions 328 to 793 of the family's 1533-position model. The record is from RNAcentral.
UCAGUCGACUCCUACGGGGAGGCAGCAGUGGGGAAUAUUGGACAAUGGGGGAAACCCUGAUCCAGCAAUGCCGCGUGUGUGAAGAAGGCCUUCGGGUUGUAAAGCACUUUCAAUAGGGAGGAAAAGCUGUGCGUUAAUAGCGUACAGCCGUGACGUUACCUAUAGAAGAAGCACCGGCUAACUCCGUGCCAGCAGCCGCGGUAAUACGGAGGGUGCAAGCGUUAAUCGGAAUUACUGGGCGUAAAGCGCGCGUAGGCGGUUUGCUAAGUCAGAUGUGAAAUCCCCGGGCUCAACCUGGGAAUGGCAUUUGAGACUGGUAGGCUAGAAUGUGGUAGAGGUGAGUGGAAUUCCAGGUGUAGCGGUGAAAUGCGUAGAGAUCUGGAGGAACAUCAGUGGCGAAGGCGACUCACUGGGCCAUUAUUGACGCUGAGGUGCGAAAGCGUGGGUAGCAAACAGGAUUAGAUACCCUGGUAG